This 293-nucleotide ribosomal RNA is filed under the name uncultured eukaryote. RNAcentral's name for it is "partial 18S ribosomal RNA". It matches the Rfam family "Eukaryotic small subunit ribosomal RNA", at positions 6 to 303 of the family's 1831-position model. The record is from RNAcentral.
GGUUGAUCCUGCCAGUAUUAUAUGCUGAUGUUAAAGAUUAAGCCAUGCAUGUGUAAGUAUAAAGACCAAGUAGGAUGAAACUGCGGACGGCUCAUUAUAACAGUAAUAGUUUCUUUGGUUAGUAAAGUACAAGGAUAGCUUUGUGAAUGAUAAAGAUAAUACUUGAGACGAUCCGGUUUGUAUUAGUACAAGUCGGCCACUCUCUUCACGGGGAGUGCGAAUGCCAUUCUGAAUUGAAUAAGGAUGGUAUGACAAUUGUAGAGCACACAGUGUUUAACAAGUAACCAAUGAGA